AUAUUGCGCAAUGGAGGAAACUCUGACGCAGCUACGCCGCGUGAGCGAUGAAGGUCUNNNGAUCGNAAAGCUCUGUCCUUGGGNAAANAGAUCGAAAGAUUUUACGGUACCCGACGAGGAAGCCCCGGCUAACUACGGUCCAGCAGCCGCGGUAAUACGUAGGGGGCAAGCGUUGUCCGGAAUUAUUGGGCGUAAAGGGUGCGUAGGCGGCUUUUUAAGUCAGAUGUGAAAGACCACGGCUUAACCGUGGGGUUGCAUUUGAAACUGGAAGGCUUGAGUAUCGGAGAGGGUAGUGGAAUUCCCAGUGUAGCGGUGAAAUGCGUAGAUAUUGGGAGGAACACCAGUGGCGAAGGCGACUACCUGGACGAAAACUGACGCUGAUGCACGAAAGCUAGGGGAGCAAAC
This 405-nucleotide ribosomal RNA is filed under the name uncultured bacterium. RNAcentral's name for it is "partial 16S ribosomal RNA". It matches the Rfam family "Bacterial small subunit ribosomal RNA", at positions 361 to 773 of the family's 1533-position model. The record is from RNAcentral.